RNAcentral lists this ribosomal RNA (388 nucleotides) under uncultured bacterium. Its description in RNAcentral is "partial 16S ribosomal RNA". It matches the Rfam family "Bacterial small subunit ribosomal RNA", at positions 355 to 735 of the family's 1533-position model. The record is from RNAcentral.
UAGGGAAUCUUCCACAAUGGACGAAAGUCUGAUGGAGCAACGCCGCGUGAGUGAAGAAGGUUUUCGGAUCGUAAAGCUCUGUUGUUGGUGAAGAAGGAUAGAGGCAGUAACUGGUCUUUAUUUGACGGUAAUCAACCAGAAAGUCACGGCUAACUACGUGCCAGCAGCCGCGGUAAUACGUAGGUGGCAAGCGUUGUCCGGAUUUAUUGGGCGUAAAGCGAGCGCAGGCGGAAUGAUAAGUCUGAUGUGAAAGCCCACGGCUCAACCGUGGAACUGCAUCGGAAACUGUCAUUCUUGAGUGCAGAAGAGGAGAGUGGAACUCCAUGUGUAGCGGUGGAAUGCGUAGAUAUAUGGAAGAACACCAGUGGCGAAGGCGGCUCUCUGGUCU